Non-coding RNA from Myotis brandtii (Brandt's bat), 79 nucleotides. NCBI's taxonomy places the organism in Eukaryota, Metazoa, Chordata, Mammalia, Chiroptera, Vespertilionidae. The record is from Rfam.
GCUGCCGCUCGCACCCACUGCUGGUGCCCGGCGCUGGUCCCGAUCAGUUGGCACUAUCAGUGGGUGCGAGCGGUGGCUG